UGCUCUAAGAUUAUAACUUAAAGUAACACCUGCUCAAUGAUCUAAUUAAAUAGCCGCAGUCAACUGUGCAAAGGUAGCAUAAUAACUUGCUUCUUAAUUAGAAGAAAAAAUGAAUGGAAUAACACUCUAUAUCUAUCUAUAUAAAAUAAAUUAAAUUAUUAAAGAAGUAAAAAUACUUCUACUAAAUAACGGGACGACAAGACCCUAAUAAACUUUCUAUUUAGUUGGGGAAACAAAAUAAAAAAACUUUAAUUCAAUUCAUAAACAAUCUUUUAAUUAAAACUAGUUACUAUAGGGAUAACAGCGUUAUUUCUUUCAAGAGAACUUAUCUAAAAAGAAGAUUACGACCUCGAUGUUGAAUUAAUUUUCCUAAUUAAGUGCAACAACUAAAAUUAAGGUAGUCUGUUCGACUAUUAAAAAAU
Molecule: ribosomal RNA, 422 nt
Filed under: Pholcus phui
Lineage: Eukaryota; Metazoa; Arthropoda; Arachnida; Araneae; Pholcidae
Description: partial 16S ribosomal RNA
Source: RNAcentral